UGGGGAAUAUUGGACAAUGGGCGAAAGCCUGAUCCAGCCAUGCCGCGUGUGUGAAGAAGGUCUUCGGAUUGUAAAGCACUUUAAGUUGGGAGGAAGGGCAGUAAGCGAAUACCUUGCUGUUUUGACGUUACCGACAGAAUAAGCACCGGCUAACUCUGUGCCAGCAGCCGCGGUAAUACAGAGGGUGCAAGCGUUAAUCGGAAUUACUGGGCGUAAAGCGCGCGUAGGUGGUUCGUUAAGUUGAAUGUGAAAGCCCCGGGCUCAACCUGGGAACUGCAUCCGAAGGUGGCGAGCUAGAGUAGGGCAGAGGGUGGUGGAAUUUCCUGUGUAGCGGUGAAAUGCGUAGAUAUAGGAAGGAACACCAGUGGCGAAGGCGACCACCUGGGCUCAUACUGACACUGAGGUGCGAAAGCGUGGGGAGCAAACAGG
This 429-nucleotide ribosomal RNA is filed under the name Pseudomonadota bacterium. RNAcentral describes it as "Proteobacteria bacterium partial 16S ribosomal RNA". It matches the Rfam family "Bacterial small subunit ribosomal RNA", at positions 355 to 776 of the family's 1533-position model. Lineage: Bacteria; Pseudomonadati; Pseudomonadota. The record is from RNAcentral.